Long non-coding RNA from Homo sapiens (human), 2121 nucleotides. RefSeq lists it as uncharacterized. The record is from RefSeq and is a predicted model, not a curated record. NCBI's taxonomy places the organism in Eukaryota, Metazoa, Chordata, Mammalia, Primates, Hominidae. The transcript has 2 exons.
GUGCUUUGUUUUGUAUUAACUGAACAUUUUCUGUUGUAGCAUUUUAAGUCAUUUAAUGAUACUUUUCCUACAUUUUUGGAGGGUGUUUUUAGUGAUUUUUCUGGGGUUUACCAUAUACAUCAUAACUUAUCAGAAUUUACUUCAAAUUCAUACUAAAACUUUUAAUUUCUGUGAGAUAUAGAAAUGUUAUUCCUAUAUGUAUUUUACACUUUACAUUUUUCUGCUAUUACUGUUACACAAAAUAAAACUAUAUAUGUUACAAACCCAAUAAUACAUGUUUUAAAUUUACUGAUUUAAAUAAUUUUGUCAUUUGAAGCUGAGGGAAUAAAUGAGAGCAAGUAUAUAGUUAUAUAAUUUGUAUGUUAACCUUCUUAUUUACCAUUGCUGGUUUUCUUCAGUGUUUUUGUAGAUUCAAGUUAUCAUUUGAUAUCAUUUCCUUACUCCAAUACAGUUUUGCACCCACCUACAUCCUUUGUGCUAUUAUUUUCAAGUAUGUUAUAUUUCUGUAUGUUAUAGGCACAAUUGUACAGUUAUAAACAUAUUAUUUUAUACAAUUGCUUUUAAAAUCAGCUAACAAGAAAGGAGAAUAAAUGUAUAUUUAUACUGUCUGCUAUAAUUACAUAGUUAUCUUUGCCAGUGCUCUUUUUUUUUGGUGUAGAUGUGAUUACCAUCUGGGGUCACUUGCUUUCAGCCUAAAAAGCUUCUUUCACCUUUUGUAGAGUGGGUAUGUAGCAAUGAAUUAUCUGUUUUUGUUUAUCUGAGAAUGUCCUUAUUUUGCCUUCGUUUUUGAAAAGUGGUUUUGUUGGAUAUACGAUUCUUUGUUUACAGUUUUGUUUUUUAGCACAUUGAAUAUGUCAUUCCACUGUCUGCUGGCUUCUUUAGCUUCUGACAAAAAGUCAGCUGUUAAUCAUAUUGAAGUUCCUUUGUACACGAGUAAAAAAAAAAAUUGUUGCUGCUUUCAAAUUUUUCUCUUUGUCUUUGUUUUCUAUAUUUUUAGUAGAGUGCACCUGGAUCUCUGUGUAUAUCUUCCUUGAAGAUUGUUGAAUUUCUUGGAUGUACUGAUUAAUUUUUUAAUCAAAUUUAGGAAGUUUUUAGCCAUUAAUCCUUCAAAUAAUUUUCUGUUCCUUUCUCUUUUCUUUUUCUGGUGCUUCUACUGCACAUAUGGUGGUGUGCUUAAUGGUGUCACACAUUUCUCUGAGGCUUUGUUCAUUUUUUUUUUUUGGUUCAUUUUCUUCCCUAGUAAACUAGCUGUCCUACAGUCUAGCUUGUUGCUCUCAUGGAGCUACCAGCCUCCUCUUAAUUACUUACCACCAAAAUGUUCAUUGUUUUAAGAGUACUUUUAGGCUCAAACUUCCUCAUACUCUGUUCCAAAUUCCUCUCAGUCAGAGCUCUCCAUUUUAAUGGCCUGUCUCGCCCCAUGGCCAAAAUCUCCAAGCCACUGCUCCAGAGUUUGGUGUGGGCAUAAUGGCCCAGUUCUCUUAGAAUGACACCCUUAGUUGUAAUUCUAGCCUGGUUGUCAUGGUAGACUCUGGUCUCUCAGUUCACUUCUCCCAGCAUGAAAUCUCUGUCCUAUGAGUAAACUGGGGUGAGGGAACUUCGGGUCCCAGUGUUACUGCCCUGUCACACCAGCAGUAGAGUCUCCAUCUUAUGAGUCAGAGCUGAGUGGAAGAUGAGAGCCCCAGACUGCUCAGUUGCAUUUGCCUGGAAUUUAGUCUCCACAGCCUGGAGCUGGCAGGGAUUAGUUGUGCUGGCAUCCUGACCUCCCAGGGAAAUAUUAUAUACCUUGACUGGAAGCUGGGGAAGAGGGAACCCUGUCUCCUUGGCACUUCCAUCCAGAAUGAAGCUUCCUUCACAUUUAGCUGGCAAAGAGAGAGGGAGCAAGCAGAUCAUGGCUCAAGAAUACACGGUAAAUGCAACACACGGUAAGAUGGCAAUUAAGCUCCCUGCGUUAGGGAGUAUCACUCACGGUGAUAAUUGGGAAACAUGACAGAGAAUGGGACGCGCCAUCUCAGAAGAGACGAAGAGGCUUUUCAAUUACUCUGGAACUUUAUUUAUUAUUUUUGAAGGGUAAUGCAUUGCCGCUCUUAACUGUCUGAAAUUAAAGUGGACGUUGAAAACAUA